Molecule: small nucleolar RNA, 94 nt
Organism: Cornus florida
Lineage: Eukaryota; Viridiplantae; Streptophyta; Magnoliopsida; Cornales; Cornaceae
Product: small nucleolar RNA Z157/R69/R10
Exons: 1
Source: RefSeq, a predicted model, not a curated record
GUUGGUGUGGUGAUGAAGCUAUUUGUGGACUAGAGUUUCUGACUCUGGGUAACCCAGAAGUUGAAGACAAACCCUUGGCUGUCUGAGCACGCUU